GACGAACGCUGGCGGCGUGCCUAAUACAUGCAAGUAGAACGCACAGUUUAUACCGUAGCUUGCUACACCAUAGACUGUGAGUUGCGAACGGGUGAGUAACGCGUAGGUAACCUGCCUGGUAGCGGGGGAUAACUAUUGGAAACGAUAGCUAAUACCGCAUAAUAUUAAUUAUUGCAUGAUGAUUAAUUGAAAGGUGCAAUUGCACCACUACCAGAUGGACCUGCGUUGUAUUAGCUAGUAGGUGAGGUAACGGCUCACCUAGGCGACGAUACAUAGCCGACCUGAGAGGGUGAUCGGCCACACUGGGACUGAGACACGGCCCAGACUCCUACGGGAGGCAGCAGUAGGGAAUCUUCGGCAAUGGACGAAAGUCUGACCGAGCAACGCCGCGUGAGUGAAGAAGGUUUUCGGAUCGUAAAGCUCUGUUGUAAGAGAAGAACGGGUGUGAGAGUGGAAAGUUCACACUGUGACGGUAUCUUACCAGAAAGGGACGGCUAACUACGUG
This 505-nucleotide ribosomal RNA is filed under the name uncultured bacterium. Its description in RNAcentral is "partial 16S ribosomal RNA". It matches the Rfam family "Bacterial small subunit ribosomal RNA", at positions 28 to 507 of the family's 1533-position model. The record is from RNAcentral.